Molecule: ribosomal RNA, 1346 nt
Filed under: uncultured bacterium
Lineage: Bacteria
Description: partial 16S ribosomal RNA
Rfam family: Bacterial small subunit ribosomal RNA
Source: RNAcentral
GACGAACGCUGGCGGCGUGCUUAACACAUGCAAGUCGAACGGAAAGGCCCUGCUUUUGUGGGGUGCUCGAGUGGCGAACGGGUGAGUAACACGUGAGUAACCCGCCCUUGACCUUGGGAUAACUUCAGGAAACUGGGGCUAAUACCGGAUAGGAGCUCCUGCUGCAUGGUGGGGGUUGGAAAGUUUCGGCGGUUGGGGAUGGACUCGCGGCUUAUCAGCUUGUUGGUGGGGUAGUGGCUUACCAAGGCUUUGACGGGUAGCCGGCCUGAGAGGGUGACCGGCCACAUUGGGACUGAGAUACGGCCCAGACUCCUACGGGAGGCAGCAGUGGGGAAUAUUGCACAAUGGGCGGAAGCCUGAUGCAGCAACGCCGCGUGCGGGAUGACGGCCUUCGGGUUGUAAACCGCUUUCGCCUGUGACGAAGCGUGAGUGACGGUAAUGGGUAAAGAAGCACCGGCUAACUACGUGCCAGCAGCCGCGGUGAUACGUAGGGUGCGAGCGUUGUCCGGAUUUAUUGGGCGUAAAGGGCUCGUAGGUGGUUGAUCGCGUCGGAAGUGUAAUCUUGGGGCUUAACCCUGAGCGUGCUUUCGAUACGGGUUGACUUGAGGAAGGUAGGGGAGAAUGGAAUUCCUGGUGGAGCGGUGGAAUGCGCAGAUAUCAGGAGGAACACCAGUGGCGAAGGCGGUUCUCUGGGCCUUUCCUGACGCUGAGGAGCGAAAGCGUGGGGAGCGAACAGGCUUAGAUACCCUGGUAGUCCACGCUGUAAACGGUGGGUACUAGGUGUGGGGUCCAUUCCACGGGUUCCGUGCCGUAGCUAACGCUUUAAGUACCCCGCCUGGGGAGUACGGCCGCAAGGCUAAAACUCAAAGGAAUUGACGGGGCCCCGCACAAGCGGCGGAGCAUGCGGAUUAAUUCGAUGCAACGCGUAGAACCUUACCUGGGUUUGACAUGGAUCGGGAGUGCUCAGAGAUGGGUGUGCCUCUUUUGGGGUCGGUUCACAGGUGGUGCAUGGCUGUCGUCAGCUCGUGUCGUGAGAUGUUGGGUUAAGUCCCGCAACGAGCGCAACCCUUGUUCACUGUUGCCAGCACGUUAUGGUGGGGACUCAGUGGAGACCGCCGGGGUCAACUCGGAGGAAGGUGGGGAUGACGUCAAGUCAUCAUGCCCCUUAUGUCCAGGGCUUCACGCAUGCUACAAUGGCUGGUACAGAGAGUGGCGAGCCUGUGAGGGUGAGCGAAUCUCGGAAAGCCGGUCUCAGUUCGGAUUGGGGUUUGCAACUCGACCUCAUGAAGUCGGAGUCGCUAGUAAUCGCAGAUCAGCAACGCUGCGGUGAAUACGUUCCCGGGGCU